AGCUUGAGCGUCCUGGGGACCUUCUUUCCCAUGAGAAGGAAGAUACGGAGGAAAACAGGUUUUAACAGAUCCUGUUAAUACUAACAGCCAAGGUUCACUGAGCACUUGCCGUAUUCCGGGAACCAUGCUAAGGGCUUUAGGAAUCAUUACCUCAGUAAAUCCUCAAAAACAAAGUGAAAUACAAAGCCCAGAUGGAGGGAGGAAGCUUUUGUUUUGGCCACCAGCAAUUUCUUUCUCAGAGGGUUUGUGUAGAAGAAUGCAACAGGGAGGUGGUGAUUGCUGG
Molecule: non-coding RNA, 283 nt
Organism: Leptonychotes weddellii (Weddell seal)
Lineage: Eukaryota; Metazoa; Chordata; Mammalia; Carnivora; Phocidae
Source: RefSeq, a predicted model, not a curated record